This 72-nucleotide transfer RNA is filed under the name Tetracentron sinense. It matches the Rfam family "tRNA". From Rfam's summary of the family: Transfer RNA (tRNA) molecules are approximately 80 nucleotides in length. Their secondary structure includes four short double-helical elements and three loops (D, anti-codon, and T loops). Lineage: Eukaryota; Viridiplantae; Streptophyta; Magnoliopsida; Trochodendrales; Trochodendraceae. The record is from Rfam by way of RNAcentral.
AUCAGAGUGGCGCAGCGGAAGUAUGGUGGGCCCAUAACCCACAGGUCUCAGGAUCGAAACCUGGCUCUGAUA